AUACGUAGGGAGCGAGCGUUGUCCGGAAUUACUGGGUGUAAAGGGCGCGUAGGCGGGGGUGCAAGUCAGAUGUGAAAUCUAUGGCUUAACUCAUAAACUGCAUUUGAAACUGUAUCUCUUGAGUGCUGGAGAGGUAGACGGAAUUCCUUGUGUAGCGGUGAAAUGCGUAGAUAUAAGGAAGAACACCAGUGGCGAAGGCGGUCUACUGGACAGUAACUGACGCUGAGGCGCGAAAGCGUGGGGAGCAAACAGGAUUAGAUACCCUGGUAGUCCACGCUGUAAACGAUGAAUACUAGGUGUGGGGGGACUGACCCCCUCCGUGCCGCAGUUAACACAAUAAGUAUUCCACCUGGGGAGUACGGCCGCAAGGUUGAAACUCAAAUGAAUUGGCGGGG
This 395-nucleotide ribosomal RNA is filed under the name uncultured bacterium. RNAcentral's name for it is "partial 16S ribosomal RNA". It matches the Rfam family "Bacterial small subunit ribosomal RNA", at positions 523 to 918 of the family's 1533-position model. The record is from RNAcentral.